UCCUGCCUAUAGCACGCUAGGGGCACUCGAUAUUCCUUGUUAAAAAAAAUUUUAAUAAAUAACACACGGGUGAACUUGCUCUGAAUGUGUACUUUGCUCUGGUCGACCUUUUUAGCAAACACAAUUUUUCCACCUGAAAAACUCAGUAGGACGCCAAAGAAGCCAAUUUUUUUUCUUUAAAGCAAUCCUCAAGGGCUUAUAACAAUUUUUUGAAGCCUUUCACAUUGAGGAUGGCGAACCGAUCAGCUGUGAAAUUGAACUCCGGUCAACCAGAUUUUGUGCAGUUUAACAAUCUUGCGUGUGAAACAGCAGGAGGAAAGGUGAUUUUUGCAACGGAUGAGUGGUUUGCUCCUGCUCGGAAUCUCUUGAAGAGGGAGCCAGCAGUGUUUCUUCCGUCAGCAUUCACCGAGUUUGGGAAAUGGAUGGACGGUUGGGAAACUAGAAGGAAAAGAAUUCCAGGUCAUGACUGGUGCAUUGUGCAGUUGGGGGUUCCAGGUGUCAUUCACGGCUUUGAUGUGGACACGUCGUUCUUCACGGGAAACUAUGCGCCUUCCAUAUCUAUUCAGGCUGCCUGUCUGGAUGGACUCUCUGUGCCGUCUUUAGUUCUUGAGGGAGAUCGUACAGGGAUGGCUGCUUCAGAGAGCCAGUUUGAAGUGGUGGCACAGCUUAACUCCGAGAGUUGGGAGGAGAUUGUACCAGUGACAAUGCUGAAGCCGGGAUACGCUGAUUCCUGCAACAAUUUCUUCAGUGUCACUUUUCCCAAUCGAGUCACCCACAUCCGACUGAACAUGUAUCCUGAUGGAGGUAUUGCAAGAUUGCGAGUAUAUGGGGUUGGACAACGGGACUGGUCCAGUUUACGCAGUCACAUGGAAAUUGAUCUUGUCGCACUGGUCAAUGGUGGAGUGUGUGUGGGCUACAGCAAUGCACAUUUUGGUCACCCACGUAACAUGAUUGGUUUCGGAAGAGCUGACAACAUGGCUGACGGCUGGGAGACAGCACGACGCCUAGAUCGUCCCAAAGUGUUGAAAGCCGAUGAGAAGGGCAUCUUGCAGGUCCCUGGAUUUGAGUGGGCUAUCUUCAGACUUGGGCAUCCUAGUGUGAUCAGUAAAAUUGAGAUAGACACCAAUCACUUUAAAGGGAAUUUUCCUGACUGGUGUAAAAUUGAAGCCUGCAGUUUAACCCCAGAGGAGGAACAAACCUAUAUAAGACACAAGUGGAGCAGUGACCAAGGUCCUAUGUGGAAAAUGCUUCUUCUUCCUCAGAAACUGAAACCUCACUUCAGGCACUUGUACUCUGGAGAGUGUGUGCUGCAGCGUGGGUGUGUAAGUCACGUGAGGCUUGUAAUUGCGCCUGAUGGAGGGGUCAGUCGUCUCAGACUCUGGGGUCACAUCAUCUCUAACAACUCAACUAAUCCUCAUCAAAUCUCAAAACUCUGACCCUUAAAACUACCGAUUGCCCAGAACCAAUUAGGUGACAUGGUGGUUAUUGCCUUUUAAUGAAUGCACUUAUUAAAGCCACAGAUUAUGAAUCUCUAGAGUUGUUUUUAAAGCAAUUCACGAGUGAAACACGGAGCAAUAAACUGAAUUAAACCAUAAGUAUGGAGAUGGCUUAAUAAAUUUCCUGCUUCAUAUUUGGCUUAAGUCUUGCAGUUGCACAAUUAUUGCAUGGCCAGGAAUUAUAAAUAUUAACUUGUUAAUGCCUUAUUAAAAAUGCUAUCUUUGUGUUGGGUCAAGACAUGUAGAAUUGUGUUAAUCAAAUUGCUUUCAUCUUCAAGAUCAUAAAUCAGGAGCAGUUGUCUUGACUUGCUACUAAAAAAAACAAAAAAUGCCCUAGACAAUUACAAAUAGAAGCAUUAUUGAUUGAUAUUCAAAGAUUGACUUCACAAUAGUUAAAUUAUGCCAUUAAUGAAUAUACAUACUGCCUAAAUACUGAAUUAUGCUUUAUAAUGUAAGAUUUUUUGUAAAUAAAUAUUAAUUAGUUGUAUUAUUAAGUCUUUUUAAAUAGUUUUUAAAAAAGUAUGUAACACAGACAUCCUUUUAAGACUUAGUCUGUUUAAAGCUUAUCCCUUACUCCGUUUUCCAACACCUCAAUGUGAAUUGAAUUUAAAGUAUGCUUCUCUAUUCCAGCUCUUUAUAAACUGACAGUUUACUUGGGGAGUUUUUCCUGGAGUUUUUUGUUAUCAUUUCUGUCCUGUCUUUGUGCAGAUUAUGCCAGUGGUCCAUAACAGGAUAAUAGCAUCAGCACGAUGCAGAAGGAUUUGACCCAAGACAUGCACUAUCAGGAAAGUUUUUUAACAAGUAGAAGAAUUCUUAAGAGGAAAGGGAUUGCUGUAUCCUGAUGAAACUGUAACUUGUACAUUUAAGGAGAGCUGAUGAACUGAAGAACCUGUCAUGAUUUUUAAAUUGACCUCAUUUAAUUUGAUCAGCAUGUGUCUAUGUGUCUAAUGUGCUUGGGUCUCUGUUGUGCAUUUGCACUGAUUUCUAUAAUUCAUGCCUGAGCUGCAGAAAUGCUCACUGAAGGCAGAGUUCUCAUUUAGCCUUGCCCACUUUUCUCAGCAAAAGAGACAUUACUGUCGACCAGCUUCUAACCUUGCUCCAAUGAAAAUGUCUGUGGUCAUCCACCUUAA
Molecule: RNA transcript, 2626 nt
Organism: Silurus meridionalis
Lineage: Eukaryota; Metazoa; Chordata; Actinopteri; Siluriformes; Siluridae
Gene: allc
Gene name: allantoicase
Exons: 12
Source: RefSeq, a predicted model, not a curated record